Molecule: transfer RNA, 66 nt
Filed under: Palaemon capensis
Lineage: Eukaryota; Metazoa; Arthropoda; Malacostraca; Decapoda; Palaemonidae
Description: tRNA-Glu
Source: RNAcentral
GUUAUUAUAGUGUAAUAAACACGCUACUUUUUCACGGUAGAAUUAAAGAAUUUUCUUUUAAAAACA